This is a non-coding RNA of Oncorhynchus mykiss (rainbow trout), 1335 nucleotides long. Lineage: Eukaryota; Metazoa; Chordata; Actinopteri; Salmoniformes; Salmonidae. The record is from RefSeq and is a predicted model, not a curated record.
GCACGCAAAGCUCCACUACUGAUUAGGCCUACGUUUUUAAACAUGAUUCUAUCUAUAGGCUACAACAACACGGUGCAAGAAUGUGUUAUUGUUUUCAAGAGAGUAGACCUACUCAAUGAAUGGCUAUGGCUGUAAACUGCAGUGUUGUAAGCUAACUUGAAUAACCGCUCAAACGUCCUGUUCUGAAUGCUUCAUGCCGAAAUAACUGCAUACUGCCUAGGCCUGAUUACGCAACCAUUUGGAUCAGUUAUGGGUCUAUUCGACAGUUUACAAGGUCCAGAAAGCCGAGUCCGCCUCAAAGUUUGGACUUGUAUCCCUGACAUGCAACAAAUGUAGUGUGGGCCUGCUGGGUGUUUGCACGAACACUGCGGAUGAGGUCUGCAUAAUCAACACAAGUAGCUGCUUCACUGGAAGGGCUACCUUCCCUUCCCUCACUACUUUCGCAGGCUUCAACACCCAAGGCUGUCUGGAGAGUGCUAUGUGCAACACCACCACCAACGCCACCCUCCUGGGCACCACUUACACCUCCGUCAAGGCCUGCUGCAACUCCAACAAGUGCAACCCAGUCACAAUUAGCGGCGCAACCUCCGCCAAGCUCUCUGUCACCACAGCUCUUGGCGCCGCCCUGGUGGCCUCCGUGUGGAGCAUGCUGUACUAGACCUACUAGAGGAGGGUUUUCCAAACUCUGUCCUCGGGACCCCAAGGGGUGCACGUUUUGGGUUUUGCCCUAGCACUGCAUAGCUGAUUCAAAUAAUCAACAAAUCAUCAAGCUAGGGGCAACAGCCAAAACGUGCACCACUUGGGGUCCCGAGGACCGAGUUUGGAAAAUGCUGAGCUAGAGGAAGUAGAAGACACAUUCUGAUUCUGAAGAACUAGAAGACCGUCCCAGUUUGUUUUGUUCACGCUACAUGUUUAAACCGGCUUGACUCUGGUUUUCUCAUGUGUCGAUGCUGUUCUAGCAUGAAAUAUGUACUUUUUCAUGUUCCCAUACUAUAACUACUUUACAUGUAUAAUGUUAUUGUUAAAUCUCAUGGAUCCUAUGGAGAGGGCCAAAGGGUAACAGUCUGGUUUCAGUCACUGAUUAGGUUGGAUAGCCGUGCAUUAGGAAAGGGGUGAGGAAUGUGGGCCGAGGUCACGUCAGCUACAGCGACAAGGAACAGUUCUAUUACAUACACACCACCUAAGUUUGUUCCUUUCAACAGAGCUGUAUUGGCUAUCUAGAUGUGCAAGAAGGAGACGCCGCCAAAUAGUAUAAAUACUUGUGCUGGUGGAAACAUGUCUUUGUCUUUUCAGCUGUUUGACCCCGAUGUGGGGAUACACUUGGUUUGAGCUUUA